Molecule: long non-coding RNA, 624 nt
Filed under: Panax ginseng (ginseng)
Lineage: Eukaryota; Viridiplantae; Streptophyta; Magnoliopsida; Apiales; Araliaceae
Description: long non-coding RNA (PGIN_LNC012546)
Source: RNAcentral
AAGAACAAUUUUGGCAUUUCUCCCAUCCGUAUUUCGAAGAACUCAAAGAAUAAAAGUUUUAGAUCUACUUCUCUUUCUAGAACAUCUUGAAUCUUCCAAAUUGGAGUUCAGACGAAUGAGUAAUGACCAUUUUCCCAACAGAUGUCGAAGGAGAAAAUUCCAAAAAGUUAAAUUCGUCAGUUAAUCUGCGGGGCCAAUUGAUAAAGUGAAUCCGCUGGGGCAGAUUCCUCCAGUACAUUGAAUCCACAAGGGCGGAUUCGUCAAGCUAGAUCAAGUUGGGACGCAUUUUUUAGGCAAAAUUUGAUACUUUUGUGGAUUGGGUUUCCUCCUAAGCUAGGGAUUUGACUGGUAACCUAUAAAUACAUGUUAAAGGGAUACUAGAAAAAAAAUAAUUCUUUUAUAGCGGUGGCUAAAAUUCAGAGAUGGAGCUCUAAUGCAAAAACACUUGUUAACACCAAUAGAGGCAGGGAAUUGAAGGAGGCUUGGCGAUGGAAAUCUUUAUAAGAGUUUUUCUUCUCUAACUUUACUUUGAUACUUGUAAUAUCAUUAGGUGUUAAAUAAUAUUCUGGAAAGUUUAAUUUAUUUAUUAUGAGUUAAACUUCUAUCUGUUUAAAUUAAAUUGGC